RNAcentral lists this ribosomal RNA (113 nucleotides) under uncultured bacterium. RNAcentral's name for it is "partial 16S ribosomal RNA". It matches the Rfam family "Bacterial small subunit ribosomal RNA", at positions 331 to 443 of the family's 1533-position model. The record is from RNAcentral.
GGGGGAUCCUACGGGAGGCAGCAGUGGGGAAUAUUGGACAAUGGGGGAAACCCUGAUCCAGCCAUGCCGCGUGUGUGAAAAAGGCCUUUUGGUUGUAAAGCCCUUUUACCAGU